AUUGAACGCUGGCGGCAGGCCUAACACAUGCAAGUCGAACGGUAACAGGAAGAAGCUUGCUUCUUUGCUGACGAGUGGCGGACGGGUGAGUAAUGUCUGGGAAACUGCCUGAUGGAGGGGGAUAACUACUGGAAACGGUAGCUAAUACCGCAUAACGUCGCAAGACCAAAGAGGGGGACCUUCGGGCCUCUUGCCAUCGGAUGUGCCCAGAUGGGAUUAGCUAGUAGGUGGGGUAACGGCUCACCUAGGCGACGAUCCCUAGCUGGUCUGAGAGGAUGACCAGCCACACUGGAACUGAGACACGGUCCAGACUCCUACGGGAGGCAGCAGUGGGGAAUAUUGCACAAUGGGCGCAAGCCUGAUGCUGCCAUGCCGCGUGUAUGAAGAAGGCCUUCGGGUUGUAAAGUACUUUCAGCGGGGAGGAAGGGAGUAAAGUUAAUACCUUUGCUCAUUGACGUUACCCGCAGAAGAAGCACCGGCUAACUCCGUG
RNAcentral lists this ribosomal RNA (490 nucleotides) under uncultured bacterium. RNAcentral's name for it is "partial 16S ribosomal RNA". It matches the Rfam family "Bacterial small subunit ribosomal RNA", at positions 30 to 507 of the family's 1533-position model. The record is from RNAcentral.